AGAGUUUGAUCCUGGCUCAGAUUGAACGCUAGCGGGAUGCUUUACACAUGCAAGUCGGACGGCAGCACGAAGAGCUUGCUCUUUGGUGGCGAGUGGCGAACGGGUGAGUAAUGUAUCGGAACGUGCCCAGUAGCGGGGGAUAACUACGCGAAAGCGUGGCUAAUACCGCAUACGCCCUACGGGGGAAAGGGGGGGAUCGCAAGACCUCUCACUAUUGGAGCGGCCGAUAUCGGAUUAGCUAGUUGGUGGGGUAAAGGCCUACCAAGGCGACGAUCCGUAGCUGGUUUGAGAGGACGACCAGCCACACUGGGACUGAGACACGGCCCAGACUCCUACGGGAGGCAGCAGUGGGGAAUUUUGGACAAUGGGGGCAACCCUGAUCCAGCCAUCCCGCGUGUGCGAUGAAGGCCUUCGGG
RNAcentral lists this ribosomal RNA (416 nucleotides) under uncultured bacterium. Its description in RNAcentral is "bacterial SSU rRNA". It matches the Rfam family "Bacterial small subunit ribosomal RNA", at positions 8 to 422 of the family's 1533-position model. The record is from RNAcentral.